UACAGAGGGUGCAAGCGUUAAUCGGAAUUACUGGGCGUAAAGCGCGCGUAGGUGGUUCGUUAAGUUGGAUGUGAAAGCCCCGGGCUCAACCUGGGAACUGCAUUCAAAACUGACGAGCUUGAGUAUGGAAGAGGGUCGCGGAAUUCCCGGUGUAGAGGUGAAAUUCGUAGAUAUCGGGAAGAACAUCGGUGGCGAAGGCGGCCUGCUGGGCUGUUGCUGACGCUGAGGCGCGACAGCGUGGGGAGCAAACAGG
This 253-nucleotide ribosomal RNA is filed under the name uncultured bacterium. RNAcentral's name for it is "partial 16S ribosomal RNA". It matches the Rfam family "Bacterial small subunit ribosomal RNA", at positions 524 to 776 of the family's 1533-position model. The record is from RNAcentral.